Lutra lutra (Eurasian river otter) is the source of this 2164-nucleotide long non-coding RNA. RefSeq lists it as uncharacterized. The record is from RefSeq and is a predicted model, not a curated record. Lineage: Eukaryota; Metazoa; Chordata; Mammalia; Carnivora; Mustelidae. The transcript has 3 exons.
GCCCAAGGUCACGUGGUGAGUGCGCUGUGGAGACAUGGUUUGUGCCAGUAUUCAGGCUCCAGAGCCCACCAUCAACCACUAAUUUGGGAACAGCGAAGAGCAGAGAAUCUUGGGAUUGAGCAGAGGAAGACAGACUGGGGGCCUCUGCCCUGCUGCGACUUUGGCCAUUUGGUUGCUCCCCGUGGCACCCCUGCCGAUGACCCAGGGCAGAAUCCUAGGCCACCCUCCCUGGACAGGCACAGAGCCCAGGACACCCGCUUGCUCACAGAAGAUGAGUCCUGGGCAGGCCUCCCUGGGCACUGGAGAAAAAUGGCCUACACUGUCCCUGAGAAGCAGAGGACUGGAAGGCCCUAGAGUUGGGGCCCAUGUGGACACUGGUUUGGGGGUCCUUUGCAUGUUGUUUGCAUAGGGCCCCCCCCACACACAUCGCUUCCUUCCAGGGACCUGAAUCUGCCCAAGGGCCCAGCCCCCCGGCACUGUGUGCCCUGCUUUCUCACUGACAUAGUUCACUGCAGACCCCCAUCUUGACCAGCAUGCACCCCCAGAAAGUGUAGACUCUCUCUCCAGGCCCUGGGGAGACACUUCCAUCCUCAGGGGUCUGGAUCAAAAAACAGACAAAAACUUGAGAUUUCUUUCCAUACAAAUUCACAAUCACUGUCUGUAUAAAUACACAAUCACGGUUGCAGACAAUCACAGCAAAUAUGCUGCCUUGCAGAAUGAACAGCCCUCUCAGAGCAAAGCUCCGGACCCCAGCUUGAGAUACACUGAUUCAGACCAACCCCACAUUUCAUGAGGCUCAAGGCCAGCUAAGCAGGGCUGCCGAGACCCUCUCUCAUGCUCCUUCCAGCUGGACCAACAGAUCAGCCCCACUGCGGCAGAGCGCGCCCCCAACCUGGGGCUCUGCAUCUCUGCUUCUCCCAGCCACCUCCUUGCUGCCUCUGUUUCUCUGUGUCUGUGCAUCUGGGAACAGGUGUGUGUCCACCAGUCUGUCUGCCUGUGCACACAAACGUUUGCCCUGGAGACUAAGGGAGGGCACCAGCUGGAAGGAGGCAGUCACUAAACGAGUUCAAGUGUGGUGGACAGGGCCCGGGGCACCCCACCCUUGCUCUGGCCCCUGAUGCACAUUUUACCCCCUUACCCGCUCGGCUUCUCAGUUGGGGCAGGGACUGUUCACAGCACUGCCACCUUCAUGCCUCUUGUCUUUGGGCCUUUGCAUGUGCUCCACACGUGGCCAUCUUUUUCUUUUCUUUGCUGAGGAUGCCUGUUCAUCCUUCCAUGACAGUUCAGAGGCUCAGAAAUCCCCUCGAUAUGGAGGACUUACCGAUCUGCUGCACAUCCCCCCAACUCCCACAGUGUCUGCCCCCUGAGCAGGCAUAUUAAAUUGUAAUUGCUCACUUGACGAUUGUGCAGACCCAAACCACAAGCUUUUGGGGACAAGGAGUGGUCUGAUCGGACUUCAGUCUCCUGUGCACAGAAGAGGCCAGAAGUGGAUGUUCAGUGAACGUAUGAUGGAUGGAUGGACAGACGGACGGACGAAUGGAUGAGUGUGAGUUCUUUCAGGAACAAAAAAGACAAAAGAAGUUAGCUCUAAUGGUAGAAUCUGAGGCACCGGACAGCUAUGGAACUGCUUUUGGAGAGGGGGCUGGGAGAUGGCUCCUGCCCCAUUUCAGAGGAGGAGAGUGGCUUCCUUAGCCGGAGGCAGGGACUCCUGGGUUCCCGAUGUGGGAAGAUGCGCCUGACUUGCCCCCUCGGAGCCCGGCGCCCAGUGCAUGGCUGGAAGACAGGAGCCUUCCCGAGCUCCUCCACCCUCAGCUGCCCACGCAGUCCCGGCUUCUAGGAGCCAUGACGCUUGGGGUGAAGUGGGGGGAGACACCUUUCAUCUUGUCUGUGUGGGUGAAACCCCGAGAUGAAACCAGGCUAAUGCAGGCCGUGGCCACAGGCCACGCACGGCGCCCCGGGCCAAGAAUGGCAACUCAUUACCUCUGGCCCCGGGAGACAGGAUCCUAAGGGAGCGGGACCGAGGGGAGGGGACGGCCGGGCUCUCGGUCACCCACAGCACACUGGAAGCGCCUUCUGAAUUUGGGACGCGGGUGCAUUUGGUUGGGAGCGGACCGGGAUCCGUUCUAGAGGCCGCAUUAGCAUAGAAAGCCUCCGUGUUGCCUUA